GAGAGUUUGAUUCUGGCUCAGGACGAACGCUGGCGGCGUGCUUAACACAUGCAAGUCGAACGGGGCAAAGUGAUAGCUUGCUAUUAUGGAGCCUAGUGGCAAACGGGUGAGUAACGCGUAGGCAACCUGCCCUUCAGAUGGGGACAACACCUCGAAAGGGGUGCUAAUACCGAAUGACGUUGCGCUGUCGCAUGACGGUGCAACCAAAGGCCGGGCAACCGGUCACUGAAGGAUGGGCCUGCGUCUGAUUAGCUAGUUGGUGGGGUAACGGCCCACCAAGGCGACGAUCAGUAGCCGGUCUGAGAGGAUGAACGGCCACAUUGGGACUGAGACACGGCCCAAACUCCUACGGGAGGCAGCAGUGGGGAAUCUUCCGCAAUGGGCGCAAGCCUGACGGAGCAACGCCGCGUGAGUGAAGAAGGUCUUCGGAUCGUAAAGCUCUGUUGAGAGGGACGAGAGACAUAAUCAGGAAAUGGGUUAUGGAGGACGGUACCUUUCGAGAAGCCACGGCUAA
Molecule: ribosomal RNA, 514 nt
Filed under: uncultured swine feces bacterium F30
Lineage: Bacteria
Description: bacterial SSU rRNA
Rfam family: Bacterial small subunit ribosomal RNA
Source: RNAcentral